GGCACUGUAGCUCAGGGGCAAAGCAUCUGCUUUGCAUGCAGAAGGUUGCUGGUUCAAUUCCUGUCAGCUCCA
Podarcis lilfordi (Lilford's wall lizard) is the source of this 72-nucleotide non-coding RNA. The record is from the annotation of a GenBank genome assembly. Lineage: Eukaryota; Metazoa; Chordata; Lepidosauria; Squamata; Lacertidae.